RNAcentral lists this long non-coding RNA (617 nucleotides) under Homo sapiens (human). RNAcentral's name for it is "HSALNT0298452". Lineage: Eukaryota; Metazoa; Chordata; Mammalia; Primates; Hominidae. The record is from RNAcentral.
ACAAGGUCUGAUGGCUUUAUAAGGCUAAGUUUCCUAGCACAAGUUCUCUUUGCCUGCUGCAAUCCAUGUAAGAUGUGACUUGUUCCUCCUUGCCUUCUGCCAUGAUUGUGAGGCCUCCACAGCCAUGCGGAACUGUUGAAAUACACACUACCUGAAGCUGGAUAACUCAUGAACUCUGUUGACAAUUAUAUUCUUUGUCUUUUUAAUUAACUCAUUUGGAGUUGGUGUCCUGAGGACCUAAGCCUAAGAAUCUUCAAGAUGGAAGAGUAGAGUGAACAAUGAAUGAGCCAGAGGGCUCUUGUCCUCUGUGUGCAGCUCUGGGCAGCCAGCAGGUGGAUAUGGGACUUGGCCUGCUGGAGGGGCCCUGGCAAGAGGAGCUGGCAGGAGCAGAUGGCAAAGGAUAAAGCGCUCCCUUGUUGGUGUCCCCACAGUCCAGGCUGGUGCUGAUGCCGUCCUGCCGUCCUGCAUCAGAGCCACUCAUGCCCGUGUGCGCACUCUUUGUCGGGGUCUGACACCGUUGCAUCGUAUAUCACCUGUGUUGUCAUGGUCAGUGCUCAACAAAUGCCCCUACUGAUUCAAGUAUAUGAGCAAGUCAAAUAAAAAAAUAAUAUGGCCGG